AGCCAACAUUUGAGAAAAGGUUCACCGAUUUCUGGAUUUCUCGAUUUUCCGCCAAUAAGUGAUUUCUCGAUUUUUCCAAACUCAUAUUCCUCCACCAAUCAAAAAUCAAACAGAAUUGGGAUGAAAAGGUUCACCAUAGAGCCCGUAAGAAAUCCUAAGAUCCAAUUUGAUUCUUAACUAAUUGAAAAUAAUUGGAACCCUAAAACCCAAAAUCAUCCCCCCAACCUCUACAAAAUACAUGGUUAAAAUCUUGAGUUCUUCGCUGAUAUCUUCUUAGGCAGAGGUGUGAACACGGCGGCAGAGUGGAAAGGCAAGGAAAAAUUUGAGAAGAAAUUUCAUAUGGUACGAGAACUUGCUGAAAGAGAGAAAGAAGUUUUGUUUUUGUUUUUCUUUCAGAAAAGAGAGCGAUAUCACGUGUUUCCUUUUCAUCUGUUCUUUUAUGAGCUGUCAAGACUUUAUUGAUUGUGCCUAAAAUUUAGGUGUUGUAACUGUGCCUAGAGAAGAGUUUCU
RNAcentral lists this long non-coding RNA (510 nucleotides) under Trifolium pratense (red clover). RNAcentral's name for it is "long non-coding RNA (TPRA_LNC004721)". The record is from RNAcentral. Lineage: Eukaryota; Viridiplantae; Streptophyta; Magnoliopsida; Fabales; Fabaceae.